AGAGUUUGAUCAUGGCUCAGGAUGAACGCUAGCGGCAGGCUUAAUACAUGCAAGUCGUGGGGCAGCAUGGGUGUAGCAAUACAUCUGAUGGCGACCGGCAAACGGGUGCGCAAUACGUACGCAACCUUCCUUUAAGCGGGGGAUAGCCCAGGGAAACUUGGAUUAAUACCCCAUAACAUAUUGAAGAGGCAUCUUUUUAAUAUUAAAGCUCCGGCACUUAAAGAUGGGCGUACGGCUGAUUAGGUAGUUGGCGGGGUAACGGCCCACCAAGCCUACGAUCAGUAGCUGAUGUGAGAGCAUGAUCAGCCACACGGGCACUGAGACACGGGCCCGACUCCUACGGGAGGCAGCAGUAAGGAAUAUUGGUCAAUGGACGCAAGUCUGAACCAGCCAUGCCGCGUGGAGGAUGAAGGUCCUCUGGAUUGUAAACUUCUUUUAUCUGGGACGAAACACUUCUAUUCUUAGAGGCCUGACGGUACCAGAUGAAUAAGCACCGGCUAACUCCGUGCCAGCAGCCGCGGUAAUACGGAGGGUGCAAGCGUUAUCCGGAUUCACUGGGUUUAAAGGGUGCGUAGGUGGGUAUGUAAGUCAGUGGUGAAAUCCCCGAGCUUAACUUGGGAACUGCCGUUGAUACUAUAUAUCUUGAAUGCCGUAGAGGUAAGCGGAAUAUGUCAUGUAGCGGUGAAAUGCUUAGAUAUGACAUAGAACACCAAUUGCGAAGGCAGCUUACUAUGCGGAUAUUGACACUGAGGCACGAAAGCGUGGGUAGCAAACAGGAUUAGAUACCCUAGUAGUCC
RNAcentral lists this ribosomal RNA (797 nucleotides) under uncultured bacterium. RNAcentral's name for it is "bacterial SSU rRNA". It matches the Rfam family "Bacterial small subunit ribosomal RNA", at positions 8 to 796 of the family's 1533-position model. The record is from RNAcentral.